This 684-nucleotide ribosomal RNA is filed under the name Triticum aestivum (bread wheat). Its description in RNAcentral is "partial small subunit ribosomal RNA". The record is from RNAcentral. Lineage: Eukaryota; Viridiplantae; Streptophyta; Magnoliopsida; Poales; Poaceae.
AUGGCAACUUCUUCUCCCUCGCCUACGGCGAUCCAGAUGCCUCCGCCGACCGCGACCAAGGAAGUCGACGACGGUGGCGAGAUAACAACCGCCGGCACGGCACCGCCAACAUCAACCCCCACCAUGGACAGGAUCAUGUCGAGCGUCACGAACCUUGCACAGCUCCUGCCGACGGGCACGGUGCUGGCGUACCAGGCGCUAUCCCCGUCCUUCACCAACCACGGCAAGUGCGAGGCCUCCAACCAGUGGCUCACCGUGGCGCUGGUCGCCGUCCUUGUCGUCAUGUGCCUCUUCUUCUCCUUCACCGACAGCCUCGUGGGCCGCGACGGAAAGCUCUACUACGGCAUCGCCAUGCCCCGUGGCUUCAACGUGUUCAACUUCCCCGGCGAGGAUGAGAGCCGAGAGUGGGGCGGGGGCGAGCUCCGGAGUCUCCGCCUCCGGCCCCUGGACUUCGUGCACUCCUUCUUCGCCGCCGUGGUUUUCCUCACGGUGGUAUUUAGCGACGUGGGGCUGCAGAACUGCUUCUUCCCGGACGCCAAUAGGAACACCCAGGAGCUGCUCAAGAACCUGCCGCUGGGCAUGGCGUUUCUGUCCGGCUUUGUGUUCACCAUCUUCCCCACCAAAAGGAAGGGCAUCGGAUUCAGCGACAAUACUCCUCGCAGGAAGGUCGAUCACUUAAACUAA